Molecule: small nucleolar RNA, 199 nt
Filed under: Erinaceus europaeus (western European hedgehog)
Lineage: Eukaryota; Metazoa; Chordata; Mammalia; Eulipotyphla; Erinaceidae
Description: Small nucleolar RNA SNORA73 family
Rfam family: Small nucleolar RNA SNORA73 family
About the family: U17 (SNORA73A and SNORA73B) also known as E1 belongs to the H/ACA class of small nucleolar RNAs (snoRNAs). Vertebrate U17 is intron-encoded and ranges in length from 200-230 nucleotides, longer than most snoRNAs.
Source: Rfam by way of RNAcentral
CCGACAUAAAUACCCUGGGGUCGCUCUCCCAGGCUCUGUCCAGGUAAUGGCAGGAGCGCAGGGCUCUGCUCAGUGAUGUACAGUCCCUUUCCACAGCGUCAGAGAUGAAGUCAGGCCCGAGUCCGCACCUGCAUAUUCCUAUAGCUUCUCAGAGUCCCAUGGACCGUGACUGAGAAGACAAACCAUGCAGGAAACAGUU